GGUUUUCCAGACUGGUAGAGGCUUGAAGUGAGGAGGGGAUGUGUGUGUCCCCUGGAGGUGCUGAUUCAGCAGAGAAAAAGAAAACACCCCCCAUUUUGCUGAGCCCCAGCAGGGUGAACAGAGGGAAAAGGUGCUCCAGGGCAGGAAGAAACUGUGAAGAAAUAGGUUUGGACAAGAGUUGAAGGAUUGUAUGCCCAACUGAACCUACUACUGAAAGCAAUGAGCUGGAUGAGCCCUCUCCCUCGCCUUGCUAUAUAGGAUGGGCGAGCAACACCUACCCGAGUACCACACGGCUUCCUCCAGGAGGCUGGGAGCUGUGCUGGAGCUCGCCCAUCUGACCCAGUCCUCCACAUGAGAUCUGGCAAGAUAAUCGCUCCAAGCGUCUGGAAAGAACACCUUGCUUUCCCUACUGCUCCUGAAGGAAUCAAGGACAAAUGAUGGAGACAGAGUUGCUCACCACCAUCUUGGCUGGAGAAGACACAGGAAACUCUUGGCACAACCACCUCUGAACCUACGCGCUCUGCCCUGUCUCUUAUGCCUCCUGCUCCCAGCCUGGACAUGGGCUUCUGUUAUACAGUGUGCCACAUUUAUUUCCUGCAUUAAAUCAGAGCC
This is a non-coding RNA of Anas platyrhynchos (mallard), 612 nucleotides long. Lineage: Eukaryota; Metazoa; Chordata; Aves; Anseriformes; Anatidae. The record is from RefSeq and is a predicted model, not a curated record.